This 459-nucleotide ribosomal RNA is filed under the name uncultured bacterium. RNAcentral's name for it is "partial 16S ribosomal RNA". It matches the Rfam family "Bacterial small subunit ribosomal RNA", at positions 338 to 795 of the family's 1533-position model. The record is from RNAcentral.
CCUACGGGUGGCAGCAGUGAGGAAUAUUGGUCAAUGGGCGCGAGCCUGAACCAGCCAAGUCGCGUGAGGGAAGACGGUCCUAUGGAUUGUAAACCUCUUUUGUCGGGGAGCAAAAGACGCCACGCGUGGCGUUCCGAGAGUACCCGAAGAAAAAGCAUCGGCUAACUCCGUGCCAGCAGCCGCGGUAAUACGGAGGAUGCGAGCGUUAUCCGGAUUUAUUGGGUUUAAAGGGUGCGUAGGCGGAAGGUUAAGUCAGCGGUCAAAUGUCGGUGCUCAACACCGGCCUGCCGUUGAAACUGGUCUUCUUGAGUGAGCGAGAAGUAUGCGGAAUGCGUGGUGUAGCGGUGAAAUGCAUAGAUAUCACGCAGAACUCCGAUUGCGAAGGCAGCAUACCGGCGCUCAACUGACGCUGAGGCACGAAAGCGUGGGGAUCGAACAGGAUUAGAUACCCGUGUAGUC